AUUGAACGCUGGCGGCAUGCCUUACACAUGCAAGUCGAACGGCAGCGGGCCCUUCGGGGUGCCGGCGAGUGGCGAACGGGUGAGUAAUGCAUCGGAACGUACCCGGGAGAGGGGGAUAACCGGCCGAAAGGCUGGCUAAUACCGCAUGAACUCGGAAGAGCAAAGCGGGGGACCUUCGGGCCUCGCGCUCUCGGAGCGGCCGAUGUCCGAUUAGGCUAGUUGGUGUGGUAAAGGCCCACCAAGGCGACGAUCGGUAGCGGGUCUGAGAGGACGAUCCGCCACACUGGGACUGAGACACGGCCCAGACUCCUACGGGAGGCAGCAGUGGGGAAUCUUGGACAAUGGGCGCAAGCCUGAUCCAGCAAUGCCGCGUGGGUGAAGAAGGCCUUCGGGUUGUAAAGCCCUUUCGGCGGGGAAGAAAUCGGUCAGGCGAAUAGUCUGGCCGGAUGACGGUACCCGCAGAAGAAGCACCGGCUAACUACGUG
This 485-nucleotide ribosomal RNA is filed under the name uncultured bacterium. RNAcentral describes it as "partial 16S ribosomal RNA". It matches the Rfam family "Bacterial small subunit ribosomal RNA", at positions 28 to 507 of the family's 1533-position model. The record is from RNAcentral.